This 1482-nucleotide ribosomal RNA is filed under the name uncultured bacterium. RNAcentral describes it as "bacterial SSU rRNA". It matches the Rfam family "Bacterial small subunit ribosomal RNA". The record is from RNAcentral.
GCUCAGAUUGAACGCUGGCGGCAGGCCUAACACAUGCAAGUCGAGCGGUAGCACAGAGAGCUUGCUCUCGGGUGACGAGCGGCGGACGGGUGAGUAAUGUCUGGGAAACUGCCUGAUGGAGGGGGAUAACUACUGGAAACGGUAGCUAAUACCGCAUAAUGUCGCAAGACCAAAGUGGGGGACCUUUGGGCCUCAUGCCAUCAGAUGUGCCCAGAUGGGAUUAGCUAGUAGGUGGGGUAACGGCUCACCUAGGCGACGAUCCCUAGCUGGUCUGAGAGGAUGACCAGCCACACUGGAACUGAGACACGGUCCAGACUCCUACGGGAGGCAGCAGUGGGGAAUAUUGCACAAUGGGCGCAAGCCUGAUGCAGCCAUGCCGCGUGUGUGAAGAAGGCCUUCGGGUUGUAAAGCACUUUCAGCGGGGAGGAAGGCGUUAAGGUUAAUAACCUUGGCGAUUGACGUUACCCGCAGAAGAAGCACCGGCUAACUCCGUGCCAGCAGCCGCGGUAAUACGGAGGGUGCAAGCGUUAAUCGGAAUUACUGGGCGUAAAGCGCACGCAGGCGGUCUGUCAAGUCGGAUGUGAAAUCCCCGGGCUCAACCUGGGAACUGCAUUCGAAACUGGCAGGCUAGAGUCUUGUAGAGGGGGGUAGAAUUCCAGGUGUAGCGGUGAAAUGCGUAGAGAUCUGGAGGAAUACCGGUGGCGAAGGCGGCCCCCUGGACAAAGACUGACGCUCAGGUGCGAAAGCGUGGGGAGCAAACAGGAUUAGAUACCCUGGUAGUCCACGCCGUAAACGAUGUCGAUUGGAGGUUGUGCCCUUGAGGCGUGGCUUCCGGAGCUAACGCGUUAAAUCGACCGCCUGGGGAGUACGGCCGCAAGGUUAAAACUCAAAUGAAUUGACGGGGGCCCGCACAAGCGGUGGAGCAUGUGGUUUAAUUCGAUGCAACGCGAAGAACCUUACCUGGUCUUGACAUCCACAGAACUUUCCAGAGAUGGAUUGGUGCCUUCGGGAACUGUGAGACAGGUGCUGCAUGGCUGUCGUCAGCUCGUGUUGUGAAAUGUUGGGUUAAGUCCCGCAACGAGCGCAACCCUUAUCCUUUGUUGCCAGCGGUUAGGCCGGGAACUCAAAGGAGACUGCCAGUGAUAAACUGGAGGAAGGUGGGGAUGACGUCAAGUCAUCAUGGCCCUUACGACCAGGGCUACACACGUGCUACAAUGGCAUAUACAAAGAGAAGCGACCUCGCGAGAGCAAGCGGACCUCAUAAAGUAUGUCGUAGUCCGGAUUGGAGUCUGCAACUCGACUCCAUGAAGUCGGAAUCGCUAGUAAUCGUAGAUCAGAAUGCUACGGUGAAUACGUUCCCGGGCCUUGUACACACCGCCCGUCACACCAUGGGAGUGGGUUGCAAAAGAAGUAGGUAGCUUAACCUUCGGGAGGGCGCUUACCACUUUGUGAUUCAUGACUGGGGUGAAGUCGUAACAAGGU